This 243-nucleotide ribosomal RNA is filed under the name uncultured bacterium. RNAcentral describes it as "partial 16S ribosomal RNA". It matches the Rfam family "Bacterial small subunit ribosomal RNA", at positions 528 to 771 of the family's 1533-position model. The record is from RNAcentral.
UAGGUGGCGAGCGUUAUCCGGAUUUAUUGGGCGUAAAGCGUGCGCAGGCGGUUUGUUAAGUCUAAAAUUAAAGUCCGAAGCUUAACUUCGGUUCGUUUUAGAAACUGGCAGACUUGAGUAUGGUAGAGGCAAAUGGAAUUUCUAGUGUAGCGGUAAAAUGCGUAGAUAUUAGAAGGAACACCAGUGGCGAAGGCGAUUUGCUGGGCCAUUACUGACGCUCAUGCACGAAAGCGUGGGGAGCAA